RNAcentral lists this ribosomal RNA (497 nucleotides) under uncultured bacterium. Its description in RNAcentral is "partial 16S ribosomal RNA". It matches the Rfam family "Bacterial small subunit ribosomal RNA", at positions 28 to 507 of the family's 1533-position model. The record is from RNAcentral.
GAUGAACGCUGGCGGCGUGCCUAAUACAUGCAAGUCGAGCGAACAGACGAGGAGCUUGCUCCUCUGACGUUAGCGGCGGACGGGCGAGUAACACGUGGAUAACCUACCUAUAAGACUGGGAUAACUUCGGGAAACCGGAGCUAAUACCGGAUAAUAUAUUGAACCGCAUGGUUCAAUAGUGAAAGACGGUUUUGCUGUCACUUAUAGAUGGAUCCGCGCCGCAUUAGCUAGUUGGUAAGGUAACGGCUUACCAAGGCAACGAUGCGUAGCCGACCUGAGAGGGUGAUCGGCCACACUGGAACUGAGACACGGUCCAGACUCCUACGGGAGGCAGCAGUAGGGAAUCUUCCGCAAUGGGCGAAAGCUUGACGGAGCAACGCCGCGUGAGUGAUGAAGGUCUUCGGAUCGUAAAACUCUGUUAUUAGGGAAGAACAGAUGUGUAAGUAACUAUGCACGUCUUGACGGUACCUAAUCAAAAAGCCACGGCUAACUACGUG